AAAAAAAUCAACCAAACUAAACCAAAAUAAAAUAGUCAGUUGCAUAUUAGCAUUGUUCUAAUAAACUUGAUCAAAAUUAUAGUACCAAUGGCUCGGAGGGAAAAGCCGUGUGGCUUGCAAAAAUAACAGAAGGUACAAACGCACAUGUUGCUUUCUUUUGUACUGUAAAAUAACAAGUGCUGCAGUAAAUGUUCUUGCUUUUGAA
RNAcentral lists this long non-coding RNA (205 nucleotides) under Mytilus galloprovincialis (Mediterranean mussel). Lineage: Eukaryota; Metazoa; Mollusca; Bivalvia; Mytilida; Mytilidae. The record is from RNAcentral.